UACGAAGGGGGCUAGCGUUGUUCGGAAUCACUGGGCGUAAAGGGCGCGUAGGCGGCGCGACAAGUCAGGCGGUGAAAGCCCCGGGCUCAACCCGGGAAUUGCGCUUGAUACUGUCGUGCUUGAGGCCGGGAGAGGAUGGCGGAAUUCCCAGUGUAGAGGUGAAAUUCGUAGAUAUUGGGAAGAACACCGGUGGCGAAGGCGGCCAUCUGGACCGGUUCUGACGCUGAGGCGGCGAAAAGCGUGGGGAGCAAACAGG
RNAcentral lists this ribosomal RNA (256 nucleotides) under uncultured bacterium. RNAcentral describes it as "partial 16S ribosomal RNA". It matches the Rfam family "Bacterial small subunit ribosomal RNA", at positions 524 to 776 of the family's 1533-position model. The record is from RNAcentral.